RNAcentral lists this unclassified non-coding RNA (362 nucleotides) under soil metagenome. RNAcentral's name for it is "partial contains 5.8S ribosomal RNA, internal transcribed spacer 2, and large subunit ribosomal RNA". The stretch from base 1 to 120 matches the Rfam family "5.8S ribosomal RNA", at positions 35 to 154 of the family's 154-position model. The record is from RNAcentral.
GAUGAAGAACGUAGCGAAAUGCGAUAAGUAAUGUGAAUUGCAGAAUUCAGUGAAUCAUCGAAUCUUUGAACGCACCUUGCGCUCCUUGGUAUUCCGAGGAGCAUGCCUGUUUGAGUGUCAUUAAUAUAUCAACCUUCUCUUUUUUGAGUUGUUUGGAUGUGGGGGUUUGCUGGCCUCUUAAAUGAUUCGGCUCCCCUGAAAUGCAUUAGCAGAACAACCUGUUCAUUAGCGUGAUAAUUAUCUAUGCUAUUGAAUGUGAGGGCAGUUCAGCUUUCUAACCGUCCUUGGACAAUUCAUCAUUAAUGUGACCUCAAAUCAGGUAGGACUACCCGCUGAACUUAAGCAUAUCAAUAAGCGGAGGA